GUAUGAAAUCCAUCACAGGGAAAACAUUUGCACUACAGAACAGAUAAGAUAAUUAAAAAUGAAAUUGCAAGAUAAGGUGUUUGACAGGGCGGAGGGAAGCCGCACAGUGGAGGAAAAACCAUCCCCAUGACUACUGGUCCUUUCUCCUCCCUGCUCAUUGCUGUUCGCCUCUUCUUUGAUUCCAGAGCUUGUUUUAUUCCUCAGCAGCCUUUCUACAGACUGGCGGAUCCAGUCACAGUUGGAAAUUGUGGAACUGUGGUUUGUUUCAGAAAGAGAAGAAAAGAGAGUUUAAGUAUCGCCUUAGCAGCAGAUGGCUUUGCUUUGGAUUCUUUUAUACACAAAGGAGAUGUGUUUGCUGGCUUUGUAAUUAACUCAAAAAGGGAAAAGAAAAAUUGUUAAAGGCAGUGUGGAUAUGACUUGAAUUUUUCAUCAGGGCUCUCAACACUGUGGUAUUUAUUACUAGGGGUGAAGAAUGACCUCCUUCCUGCUAGUUUUCCAAUAAUUCCUACUUCAAAAAGGAAUUAAGGUUGGAAACAUAGCCUCUUUCUGGCCAGAAAGCUG
Aptenodytes forsteri (emperor penguin) is the source of this 561-nucleotide long non-coding RNA. RefSeq lists it as uncharacterized. The transcript has 3 exons. Lineage: Eukaryota; Metazoa; Chordata; Aves; Sphenisciformes; Spheniscidae. The record is from RefSeq and is a predicted model, not a curated record.